CGCCGAUUAGGUCCUCGUUCGCUUCGUCGUGAUCGGAGCUCGAGCGAGGACAGUGGGGCGAGGACUGACGGAGCCUCCAAGCGGCGCGAAAGCUAGGGUUAAAACCCUAGCAGAGAGUUUAGGUUCUUUUUUUUUUUAAUUUUGUUUAUGCAAAUGUUUUUUUUAACAGAAACUUGGUUUAAAUGGUGCAUUGAUACGGCGCCGUUUUAACAAGGAAUCAUAAGAGUCGAAAUGACACCGUAUAAGGUGUAGACCCGCGUGG
Molecule: long non-coding RNA, 262 nt
Filed under: Gossypium raimondii (Peruvian cotton)
Lineage: Eukaryota; Viridiplantae; Streptophyta; Magnoliopsida; Malvales; Malvaceae
Description: long non-coding RNA (GRAI_LNC000534)
Source: RNAcentral